Molecule: ribosomal RNA, 278 nt
Filed under: uncultured bacterium
Lineage: Bacteria
Description: partial 16S ribosomal RNA
Rfam family: Bacterial small subunit ribosomal RNA
Source: RNAcentral
AACGAACGCUGGCGGCAGGCCUAACACAUGCAAGUCGAACGGUUCCUUCGGGAAUAGUGGCGCACGGGUGCGUAACGCGUGGGAAUAUACCCUUCACUGCGGAAUAAUGUUUGGAAACGAACACUAAUACCGCAUAAUGACUCCGGUCCAAAGAUUUAUCGGUGAAGGAUUAGCCCGCGUCUGAUUAGUUUGUUGGUGAGGUAACGGCUCACCAAGACGAUGAUCAGUAGGGGGUCUGAGAGGAUGAUCCCCCACACUGGUACUGAGACACGGACCAG